This 253-nucleotide ribosomal RNA is filed under the name uncultured bacterium. Its description in RNAcentral is "partial 16S ribosomal RNA". It matches the Rfam family "Bacterial small subunit ribosomal RNA", at positions 524 to 776 of the family's 1533-position model. The record is from RNAcentral.
UACGUAGGCAGCAAGCGUUGUUCGGAGUUACUGGGCGUAAAGGGUGCGUAGGCGGUCGGGUAAGUCUGGCGUGAAAUCUCCAAGCCUAACUUGGAAACUGCGUUGGAUACUAUCCGGCUCGAGGAAUGGAGGGGAGACUGGAAUACUUGGUGUAGCAGUGAAAUGCGUAGAUAUCAAGUGGAACACCAGUGGCGAAGGCGAGUCUCUGGACAUUUCCUGACGCUGAGGCACGAAAGCCAGGGGAGCAAACGGG